GUGCUCGGGAGGAAGAGAAGAAAACGACUUCUAGGCUUGAAAUGCUGAAGAGAGACCAAAAUUUAGGCAAUCUACUAACCUCAAAUAUGCAACAAGAGAGACCCAACUGAAAUCCAUACCUUAUUCAAAUUUUCGAGAGAGACGAAUGCGAGAAAAAAUGAAAGAGCCGCAGAGAUUGAGAUGCAAGCGAUGGAAGUGCUCGGGAGGAAGAGAAGAAAACGGCUUCUAGGCUUGAAAUGCUGAAGAGAGACCAAAAUUAGGGCAAAAUUCCAAAAAGCCACAGAGAUUGAGAUGCAAGCGAUGGAGAAACUCGGGAGGAACAGAAAA
RNAcentral lists this long non-coding RNA (327 nucleotides) under Vitis vinifera (wine grape). RNAcentral's name for it is "long non-coding RNA (VVIN_LNC002894)". Lineage: Eukaryota; Viridiplantae; Streptophyta; Magnoliopsida; Vitales; Vitaceae. The record is from RNAcentral.